AUUGAACGCUGGCGGCAGGCUUAACACAUGCAAGUCGAGCGGGGAAGGUUGCUUUGGUAACUGACCUAGCGGCGGACGGGUGAGUAAUGCUUAGGAAUCUGCCUAUUAGUGGGGGACAACAUUCCGAAAGGAAUGCUAAUACCGCAUACGCCCUACGGGGGAAAGCAGGGGAUCUUCGGACCUUGCGCUAAUAGAUGAGCCUAAGUCGGAUUAGCUAGUUGGUGGGGUAAAGGCCUACCAAGGCGACGAUCUGUAGCGGGUCUGAGAGGAUGAUCCGCCACACUGGGACUGAGACACGGCCCAGACUCCUACGGGAGGCAGCAGUGGGGAAUAUUGGACAAUGGGCGGAAGCCUGAUCCAGCCAUGCCGCGUGCGUGAAGAAGGCCUUUUGGUUGUAAAGCACUUUAAGCGAGGAGGAGGCUCCUUUAGUUAAUACCUAAAGAGAGUGGACGUUACUCGCAGAAUAAGCACCGGCUAACUCUGUGCCAGCCGCCGCAGUAA
RNAcentral lists this ribosomal RNA (501 nucleotides) under uncultured bacterium. RNAcentral's name for it is "partial 16S ribosomal RNA". It matches the Rfam family "Bacterial small subunit ribosomal RNA", at positions 30 to 523 of the family's 1533-position model. The record is from RNAcentral.